GAUGAACGCUGGCGACGUGCCUAAUACAUGCAAGUCGAGCGAACAGACGAGGAGCUUGCUCCUCUGACGUUAGCGGCGGACGGGUGAGUAACACGUGGAUAACCUACCUAUAAGACUGGGAUAACUUCGGGAAACCGGAGCUAAUACCGGAUAAUAUAUUGAACCGCAUGGUUCAAUAGUGAAAGACGGUUUUGCUGUCACUUAUAGAUGGAUCCGCGCCGCAUUAGCUAGUUGGUAAGGUAACGGCUUACCAAGGCAACGAUGCGUAGCCGACCUGAGAGGGUGAUCGGCCACACUGGAACUGGGAAACGGUCCAGACUCCUACGGGAGGCAGCAGGAGGGAAUCUUCCGCAAUGGGCGAAAGCUUGACGGAGCAACGACGCGUGAGUGAUGAAGGUCUUCGGAUGGUAAAACUCUGUUAUUGGGGAGGAACAAAUGUGUAAGUAACUAUGCACGUCUUGACGGUACCUAAUCAGAAAGCCACGGCAAACUACGG
This 496-nucleotide ribosomal RNA is filed under the name uncultured bacterium. RNAcentral's name for it is "partial 16S ribosomal RNA". It matches the Rfam family "Bacterial small subunit ribosomal RNA", at positions 28 to 506 of the family's 1533-position model. The record is from RNAcentral.